Molecule: ribosomal RNA, 465 nt
Filed under: Vreelandella stevensii
Lineage: Bacteria; Pseudomonadati; Pseudomonadota; Gammaproteobacteria; Oceanospirillales; Halomonadaceae
Description: partial 16S ribosomal RNA
Rfam family: Bacterial small subunit ribosomal RNA
Source: RNAcentral
CCUACGGGUGGCAGCAGUGGGGAAUAUUGGACAAUGGGCGAAAGCCUGAUCCAGCCAUGCCGCGUGUGUGAAGAAGGCCUUCGGGUUGUAAAGCACUUUCAGUGGGGAAGAAAGCCUUGGGGCUAAUACCCUCGAGGAAGGACAUCACCCACAGAAGAAGCACCGGCUAACUCCGUGCCAACAGCCGCGGUAAUACGGAGGGUGCGAGCGUUAAUCGGAAUUACUGGGCGUAAAGCGCGCGUAGGCGGUCUGAUAAGCCGGUUGUGAAAGCCCCGGGCUCAACCUGGGAACGGCAUCCGGAACUGUCAGGCUAGAGUGCAGGAGAGGAAGGUAGAAUUCCCGGUGUAGCGGUGAAAUGCGUAGAGAUCGGGAGGAAUACCAGUGGCGAAGGCGGCCUUCUGGACUGACACUGACGCUGAGGUGCGAAAGCGUGGGUAGCAAACAGGAUUAGAUACCCCAGUAGUC